This 583-nucleotide ribosomal RNA is filed under the name Escherichia coli. RNAcentral's name for it is "partial 23S ribosomal RNA". It matches the Rfam family "Bacterial large subunit ribosomal RNA", at positions 243 to 867 of the family's 2925-position model. The record is from RNAcentral. Lineage: Bacteria; Pseudomonadati; Pseudomonadota; Gammaproteobacteria; Enterobacterales; Enterobacteriaceae.
GUAGCGGCGAGCGAACGGGGAGCAGCCCAGAGCCUGAAUCAGUGUGUGUGUUAGUGGAAGCGUCUGGAAAGGCGCGCGAUACAGGGUGACAGCCCCGUACACAAAAAUGCACAUGCUGUGAGCUCGAUGAGUAGGGCGGGACACGUGGUAUCCUGUCUGAAUAUGGGGGGACCAUCCUCCAAGGCUAAAUACUCCUGACUGACCGAUAGUGAACCAGUACCGUGAGGGAAAGGCGAAAAGAACCCCGGCGAGGGGAGUGAAAAAGAACCUGAAACCGUGUACGUACAAGCAGUGGGAGCACGCUUAGGCGUGUGACUGCGUACCUUUUGUAUAAUGGGUCAGCGACUUAUAUUCUGUAGCAAGGUUAACCGAAUAGGGGAGCCGAAGGGAAACCGAGUCUUAACUGGGCGUUAAGUUGCAGGGUAUAGACCCGAAACCCGGUGAUCUAGCCAUGGGCAGGUUGAAGGUUGGGUAACACUAACUGGAGGACCGAACCGACUAAUGUUGAAAAAUUAGCGGAUGACUUGUGGCUGGGGGUGAAAGGCCAAUCAAACCGGGAGAUAGCUGGUUCUCCCCGAAAGCU